GCCCAGGUGGCGGAAUUGGUAGACGCGCUGGCUUCAGGUGCCAGUGGCCGCUUAGGCCGUGGAAGUUCGAGUCUUCUCCUGGGCACCA
Molecule: transfer RNA, 88 nt
Filed under: Alphaproteobacteria bacterium
Lineage: Bacteria; Pseudomonadati; Pseudomonadota; Alphaproteobacteria
Description: tRNA-Leu
Rfam family: tRNA
About the family: Transfer RNA (tRNA) molecules are approximately 80 nucleotides in length. Their secondary structure includes four short double-helical elements and three loops (D, anti-codon, and T loops). Further hydrogen bonds mediate the characteristic L-shaped molecular structure. tRNAs have two regions of fundamental functional importance: the anti-codon, which is responsible for specific mRNA codon recognition, and the 3' end, to which the tRNAs corresponding amino acid is attached (by aminoacyl-tRNA synthetases). tRNAs cope with the degeneracy of the genetic code in two manners: having more than one tRNA (with a specific anti-codon) for a particular amino acid; and 'wobble' base-pairing, i.e. permitting non-standard base-pairing at the 3rd anti-codon position.
Source: RNAcentral